GAAUAUUGCACAAUGGGGGAAACCCUGAUGCAGCGACGCCGCGUGGGGGAUGAAGGCCUUCGGGUUGUAAACCCCUUUCAGUAGGGAACAAGGCCAUGAUUUUUGUUGUGGUUGAGGGUACUUGCAGAAGAAGCGCCGGCUAACUACGUGCCAGCAGCCGCGGUAAUACGUAGGGCGCAAGCGUUGUCCGGAAUUAUUGGGCGUAAAGAGCUCGUAGGCGGUUUGUCGCGUCUGCCGUGAAAACCCGAUGCUUAACAUCGGGCUUGCGGUGGGUACGGGCAGGCUAGAGUGCGGUAGGGGUGACUGGAAUUCCUGGUGUAGCGGUGGAAUGCGCAGAUAUCAGGAGGAACACCGAUGGCGAAGGCAGGUCACUGGGCCGUUACUGACGCUGAGGAGCGAAAGCAUGGGGAGCGAACAGG
This 419-nucleotide ribosomal RNA is filed under the name uncultured bacterium. RNAcentral describes it as "bacterial SSU rRNA". It matches the Rfam family "Bacterial small subunit ribosomal RNA", at positions 359 to 776 of the family's 1533-position model. The record is from RNAcentral.